Nannospalax galili (Upper Galilee mountains blind mole rat) is the source of this 170-nucleotide long non-coding RNA. RefSeq lists it as uncharacterized. The transcript has 2 exons. Lineage: Eukaryota; Metazoa; Chordata; Mammalia; Rodentia; Spalacidae. The record is from RefSeq and is a predicted model, not a curated record.
CAUGCAGCUUCAGAAGGCUGUGGGGCCCGAGAUCACCAAGACAGACCUGGUACCUGCUUUCCAGAACCUGAUGAAGGACUGUGAGGCCGAGGUGAGGGCCGCAGCCUCCCACAAGGUCAAAGAAUUCUGUGAAAAUCUCUCAGCUGACUGCCGGGAGAAUGUGAUCAUGA